Molecule: long non-coding RNA, 1267 nt
Filed under: Homo sapiens (human)
Lineage: Eukaryota; Metazoa; Chordata; Mammalia; Primates; Hominidae
Description: EPCIP antisense RNA 1
Source: RNAcentral
GCACUUACGCGGAGCGGUAAUGUGAGGAAGCCUCCCGCCAAACAGAUGAGGGAGGAGGAGGAGGGGAGAGGCCAGAGAGAGAAGCGGCUUUCGGGAAGGAAAGUGUGAUCUAGUAGGUGGAAUAGUCCUCUCCAAACUUUGACCUGAGGUGUGACUAUUGAAUGACCCUCUAUUUGGAUUUGGAUUACACAAAGUUUAACGUUUUUUGGAAAAAUCCUACCUAGGUAAUGUGUAGUUCUCAAUGCAUCAUGUCAGGCAGCUUAUGAUGCCAAUUUGUCCCAUGGCCUUAAAUUCCACAACCUCAUCAUCUACCACCUUUGGUGCUUUCAGAAUCAUGACUCUCAAUGUUGAAGAAUGGGCUACUGCAUGGAAGGUGCUGAUCCUUUUAGAGGCAGCCGUGGAAGAGGAAAAGAGAUCAGAAGAGAAAAGGAUAUUGGUUUGCGGAACAUGUGGGACAAGAAGUUCCCAGAAGAAUUUCACACUGUUGGACUUCAUUUCUGAGCUUCUGGUAGUGAAGUGGUACCAUGUGAUUGAGUUCUGGCCAAUGGAAUAUGGUGGAAGAUUCCACGAAGGAACCGACGGCCCUAGAAGAUGGCAGAACUGUAGACAAAAGGCUGAAUCCCUGAAUGAUUGUAUGAAAGAGAGCACACCCCUCUUCCCCCUUAAUGGCAUUAGUCUGUGAUGUAAGGGAGGAACAGAUCUCAAUUACUCUAAGCCACUGAUAUCUUGAAGUUUGUCAAAGCAGCUAGCCUACCCUGCUAGCUGGGUACAAUACAGCAGGUGCUAAUAUUGCUUUGCAACUUAGGAUUUUUACAUCCUCUUUUCUCAAAAGAAAAUGAGAAAUCAACAUUUAGAGGACAUUUAUUGGAUGCCAGGCAAAUGGCCUAAGUCAUGGGGAAGCAAAAAUGAAGAAGAUAUCAUCCAUGCCCUCAAGGGACUUGAAGUGUGCCCAGAGAACUUGGAAUGUACUCUGGGAACAAACAACUGGGCAACUAAUUAUAAGACAAUGUGAUUGGUAGUUCUUAAAGAUGCAGAUGGAGGCCAGGCACAGUGGCUGACGCCUGUAAUUCCAGCACUUUGGGAAGCCAAGGUGGGCAGAUCAUCUGAGGUCAGGAGUUUGAGACCAGCCUAGCCAACAUGGUGAAACCCUGUCUCUACUGAAAAUACAAAAAAAUUAGCUGGGCGUGGUGGUGGGCACCUGUAAUCCCAGCUACUCAGGAAGCUGAGGCAGCAGAAUCACUUGAACCUGGGAGGCGGAGGUUGCAGU